GGCAACAUCGGUUAGUGGUUAUUCCGUUGGCCUGCUAAGCCAAUGCCCUCGGGCGCGUGAGUUCGAAUCUCACUGUUGUCG
Molecule: transfer RNA, 81 nt
Filed under: Gaeumannomyces tritici R3-111a-1
Lineage: Eukaryota; Fungi; Ascomycota; Sordariomycetes; Magnaporthales; Magnaporthaceae
Description: tRNA-Ser (GCT) (tRNA-Ser-GCT-3-1)
Rfam family: tRNA
About the family: Transfer RNA (tRNA) molecules are approximately 80 nucleotides in length.
Source: RNAcentral